Capsella rubella is the source of this 2467-nucleotide long non-coding RNA. RefSeq lists it as uncharacterized. The record is from RefSeq and is a predicted model, not a curated record. The transcript is spliced from 15 exons. Lineage: Eukaryota; Viridiplantae; Streptophyta; Magnoliopsida; Brassicales; Brassicaceae.
UGAUUUCUCAAAUCACCGACUCAAACAAGCACUGAAGCAAAAGGACCUCUGCGAUUUCAGAAAUAGAAUCAAUCGAGCGAUGAAGAUCGAUCAGAGAGUGAUGAGAAUCUAAUCACUGAUUGAGAUUACAAUGAUUAAUUAGAACAGAGAGGCGUGUAAUUGAAUCUGAGAUCCGAUCGCUUCAAAUCUUACAAAUUCGUCUGAUUACGCACAAAUCUUUUAGAUUGAUGAGAACGUGGCGAGAGAGAUUAUUAAAUCAUAUAGAUCACUUCGUCAUCCUAAUAUAAUCUGGUUUAAGUAGGUGGUUUUGACACCAACGCAUAUCGCCAUUGCUAUGGAAGAUGCUGCUGGCGGUGAGUUAUUUGAGCGUCUAUGUAGCGAUGGAAGAUUCAGUGAGGAUGAUAAGGCAAGAUACUUUUUCCAGCAGCUUAUAUUAGGAUUCAGCUAUUGCCACGUUAUGAGAUCUCAAGCUUCAAAAUACACUCUUGGAUGGAAGAUCUGUGAUUUUGGUUAUUCCAAGUUCUCACUGUUGCACUCUAGGCCCAAAUCAAUUGUUGGAACUCCUGCAUAUAUUGCACUUGAGUUUCUUUCUCGUAGAGAGUAUGAUGGCAAGAGUUGCAGUGUGUGGCUGAGUGUGUGGUAGAAGUGAAAAAGAGAUGAUACCUUUAGUGUUCUCUACUUGAUGUUUGUGUUAUUUUCAUUUCAAUAACUAAGGAGCUGCAAAGAUUUGGAGGUGACUUGGUAUAAUCAAGAAAAAGUGAAGCUUUGAUGAAGCAAGUGAGGUUACGGUAUCACCCUCUAUCUCAUAAAAAACACAGCCAAAAAUCUUCUUACAAUCAAAACAAGAAAAACACUAACGCACUAAAACGUAAAACACAACCAAAACUAAAACUUCAUAAAACACACGCAAAGAAAAUACAAAAAUGCAGAAACGAAUUCCACAACUUCACCAUCACACAAACUCCACGUUCACAUAAAUUCCACCAUAACACAAACUCCACGUUCACAUAAACUCCACCAUCACACAAUCUCGACGUUCACAUAACUCCACGUUCACAUAACUCCACGUUCACAUUAACUCCACGUUCAUACAACUUCGCGUUCACAUAAACCCCACUACUUCACGUUCACAAGUUCACAUAGAGUUUGCUACUUUGAUUGUAUUUGUGAUUGUAUUUGGCUCAGUACACUCCAGCCUCUUGGAAUUAAGUAAGUCAACUCAGUUUUGAAGAAAACUGGUUCAGAAUCAUCAUCAUGUACAGGCGAUCCAAAUAUUCUCUUCUAUGCCUACAUUUAUUUUGCAGAUUUCAAAUAUCUCAAGAGGAACGAGAGCAGAAAAAAAUGAACAAUGGCUGGUGAACGUGUACUGAGGUAUGCAUCUCUACCAUUUUCUUAAGCUUGUUACUUUCCUCUCUGUUUCAAGUGUGGAUGAACAAAACGUUUGUAUUUUAUUUGAUCUAUGUUUUCUGUUUGUGUGACUUACUAAUAGAUGUCAUUGAUUUCAAGAGAAAUAGAUAGCGUGAAUUAGUGAAGAUGAAGCUUUGCUAGUACUAGUAGCUUCCAACAAAGCCUUACAUGUCAAUAUUAUGUAAAACGUCGACACUCGACAGGGAGGAUUCUGUAAAUUUGUUAUCUUGGGUUUCAUGAUCUUUUAAGUAUAUAUAUUUAUAGCUUGUAUUACCUUAUUUCUACUUUAAACCAGCUUUUCAAUAAGAAAAGAGGAUCGAUUUCAGAUACUUAUGAAUGAUCAGGGGUUUCAGAUAUAAUCGUCCAUUUAUUCAGGGGAUAGCACUCACUGGGUUUCAAACUUACGCCUCAAGAUUAGAGAAUGAAUAUAACUUCGUGUGAGCCUGGUGAUGUAUCUAUUAAGGAGUUGGUAAAGCCUAACGAGGCUUGUAUAAGAUAGAGCUUCGUAUGACAGUGCAUCACCAAAACUUAGAUUCGAUUAUCAGAUAUUGCGUUAUCGUGGCCAUAGCAACUUACAACACUCAAAGAUGCUAGUGACAGAUUACAAGGCUUGUGGAUAUGGGAAAGCCAAGCAUAUUUUCUUUAUGGCCAUGUUAAGGACUAACAACAUUAAAAGAUAUCACUGAAAAAUUAAAAGUUUCGUCGAUAUGGGAGUGCAAGCAUUUCCUUGCUAAGGUUAAAAUGUAAGCAACCUCCUCCUAUGAGCAGCAUUAGAUUUGGAGAUCAUAUAGGGUAGUCGAGAAGAAGUGACUUUUGGAUGACGUAACUGAGUUACGGUAAACUUAACACAAAAAAAAACACAAAACACAACCAAAACUACAAAAACAUUAAACAAAAAGAAAUACACACAAAAAGGAAAUACACAAAUUAAAUUAAAAAGAUGCAUUUAUAAACUCAAUUAAGUCACGAUCACAUAAACUCCACUAUUUCACGAUCACAUAAACUUCGCUACUUAACGAUCACAUAAACUCCCCUAUUUCACAAUCUAAUAAACUCCACA